This 592-nucleotide ribosomal RNA is filed under the name uncultured Pseudomonas sp. RNAcentral's name for it is "bacterial SSU rRNA". It matches the Rfam family "Bacterial small subunit ribosomal RNA", at positions 127 to 714 of the family's 1533-position model. The record is from RNAcentral. Lineage: Bacteria; Pseudomonadati; Pseudomonadota; Gammaproteobacteria; Pseudomonadales; Pseudomonadaceae.
UGCCUGGUAGUGGGGGAUAACGUCCGGAAACGGGCGCUAAUACCGCAUACGUCCUGAGGGAGAAAGUGGGGGAUCUUCGGACCUCGCGCUAUCAGAUGAGCCUAGGUCGGAUUAGCUAGUUGGUGGGGUAAAGGCCUACCAAGGCGACGAUCCGUAACUGGUCUGAGAGGAUGAUCAGUCACACUGGAACUGAGACACGGUCCAGACUCCUACGGGAGGCAGCAGUGGGGAAUAUUGGACAAUGGGCGAAAGCCUGAUCCAGCCAUGCCGCGUGUGUGAAGAAGGUCUUCGGAUUGUAAAGCACUUUAAGUUGGGAGGAAGGGCAGUAAGUUAAUACCUUGCUGUUUUGACGUUACCAACAGAAUAAGCACCGGCUAACUUCGUGCCAGCAGCCGCGGUAAUACGAAGGGUGCAAGCGUUAAUCGGAAUUACUGGGCGUAAAGCGCGCGUAGGUGGUUCAGCAAGUUGGAUGUGAAAUCCCCGGGCUCAACCUGGGAACUGCAUCCAAAACUACUGAGCUAGAGUACGGUAGAGGGUGGUGGAAUUUCCUGUGUAGCGGUGAAAUGCGUAGAUAUAGGAAGGAACACCAGUG